RNAcentral lists this unclassified non-coding RNA (20 nucleotides) under Mus musculus (house mouse). Its description in RNAcentral is "oocyte_clustered_small_RNA9332". The record is from RNAcentral. Lineage: Eukaryota; Metazoa; Chordata; Mammalia; Rodentia; Muridae.
UUGAGCUGAAGAACCUGGAA